This 710-nucleotide ribosomal RNA is filed under the name uncultured anaerobic ammonium-oxidizing bacterium. RNAcentral describes it as "bacterial SSU rRNA". It matches the Rfam family "Bacterial small subunit ribosomal RNA", at positions 358 to 1051 of the family's 1533-position model. The record is from RNAcentral.
AGAAUCUUUCGCAAUGCCCGAAAGGGUGACGAAGCGACGCCGCGUGUGGGAAGAAGGCCUUCGGGUUGUAAACCACUGUCGGGAGUUAGGAAAUGUAAGGGUGUUAAUAGUAUCCUUACUUGACUAAGGCUCCGGAGGAAGCUACGGCUAACUCUGUGCCGGCAGCCGCGGUAAUACAGAGGCGGCAAGCGUUGUUCGGAAUUAUUGGGCGUAAAGAGCACGUAGGCGGCCUUGUAAGUCAGUUGUGAAAGCCUUCUGCUUAACGGAAGAACAGCAGCUGAUACUGCAAGGCUAGAGUGCGGAAGGGGAGAGUGGAACUUCUGGUGGAGCGGUGAAAUGCGUAGAUAUCAGAAGGAACGCCGGCGGCGAAGGCGACUCUCUGGUCCGUAACUGACGCUGAGUGUGCGAAAGCUAGGGGAGCAAACGGGAUUAGAUACCCCGGUAGUCCUAGCCGUAAACGAUGGGCACUAAGUAGAGGGGUUUUGAUUAUCUCUCUGCCGGAGCUAACGCAUUAAGUGCCCCGCCUGGGGAGUACGGCCGCAAGGCUAAACCUCAAAAGAAUUGACGGGGGCUCGCACAAGCGGUGGAGCAUGUGGCUUAAUUCGAUGCAACGCGAAGAACCUUACCGAGGUUUGACAUGGUAGAAGUAGGAGCCUGAAAGGGUGACGAACGGUAUCCAGUCCGUGACUAUCACAGGUGUUGCAUGGCUG